AUGAAUGUUGAUGCUGCGUUAUCUCGCAAUGGUGAAAGGGGAGCCCUGGAAGUUGUGAGCCGGGAUCAUACAGGCUUCUUCCUUGGAGCAUCGGCACUGGUGUGCGAAAGUGUUACUGAUCCAGAGAUCCUAGAGGCAAUGGCAUGUUGCGAGGGGCUAUCUCUGGCUCUUGACUUAAACCUGCAACAAGUUCAGAUUAGCAUCGAUUGUUCAGCAACAGUCAAGCAUAUCGGAGAGGCAUACUUGGGGCCCAACAGUUAUUAUGGACGAGAUCAAGAUGAAGAAGAAUGUGUUCCAAACCAUGGAGAUCAUACAUUAAAAACGCGAGUGUAA
RNAcentral lists this ribosomal RNA (333 nucleotides) under Triticum aestivum (bread wheat). Its description in RNAcentral is "partial small subunit ribosomal RNA". Lineage: Eukaryota; Viridiplantae; Streptophyta; Magnoliopsida; Poales; Poaceae. The record is from RNAcentral.